UCUCCGUCGGUGAACCAGCGGAGGGAUCAUUAUCGGGUUUAUAACUCCCAAACCCUAUGUGAACUUACCACUUGUUGCUUCGGCGCGCGCUUCGGUGCCGCCGAGGACACUUAAACUCUUUGUUUUUAUAAGCAUUUCUGAGUGGCCGAAAGGCAAAAUACAAAUGAAUCAAAACUUUCAACAACGGAUCUCUUGGCUCUC
This 201-nucleotide unclassified non-coding RNA is filed under the name plant metagenome. Its description in RNAcentral is "partial contains small subunit ribosomal RNA, internal transcribed spacer 1, and 5.8S ribosomal RNA". The record is from RNAcentral.